RNAcentral lists this transfer RNA (76 nucleotides) under Actinomycetes bacterium. RNAcentral describes it as "Actinobacteria bacterium tRNA-Arg". It matches the Rfam family "tRNA". From Rfam's summary of the family: Transfer RNA (tRNA) molecules are approximately 80 nucleotides in length. Their secondary structure includes four short double-helical elements and three loops (D, anti-codon, and T loops). The record is from RNAcentral. RNAcentral also lists the same sequence under 1 other name. Lineage: Bacteria; Bacillati; Actinomycetota; Actinomycetes.
GUCCUCGUAGCUCAGUGGAUAGAGCAACCGCCUCCUAAGCGGUAGGUCGCAGGUUCAACUCCCGCCGAGGACACGA